UAAUACGUAGGGAGCGAGCGUUAUCCGGAAUUAUUGGGUGUAAAGCGUGUGUAGGCGGGAAAUUAAGUCUAAGGUCUAAGCCCGGAGCUCAACUCCGGUUCGCCUUAGAAACUGAUUUUCUUGAGUGUGGUAGAGGCAAACGGAAUUUCUAGUGUAGCGGUAAAAUGCGUAGAUAUUAGAAGGAACACCAGUGGCGAAGGCGGUUUGCUGGGCCACUACUGACGCUGAGACACGAAAGCGUGGGGAGCAAAUAGGAUUAGAUACCCUAGUAGUCCACGCCGUAAACGAUGGAUACUAAGUGUCGGGCAACCGGUGCUGAAGUUAACACAUUAAGUAUCCCACCUGAGUAGUACGGUCGCAAGGCUG
Molecule: ribosomal RNA, 366 nt
Filed under: uncultured bacterium
Lineage: Bacteria
Description: bacterial SSU rRNA
Rfam family: Bacterial small subunit ribosomal RNA
Source: RNAcentral